CGGGUGAGUAAUGCGUGACCAACCUGCCCCAUGCUCCAGAAUAGCUCUUGGAAACGGGUGGUAAUGCUGGAUGCUCCAACUUGACGCAUGUCUUGUUGGGAAAGUGUUUAGUGGCAUGGGAUGGGGUCGCGUCCUAUCAGCUUGUAGGCGGGGUAAUGGCCCACCUAGGCUUCGACGGGUAGCCGGCCUGAGAGGGCGGACGGCCACAUUGGGACUGAGAUACGACCCAGACUCCUACGGGAGGCAGCAGAC
RNAcentral lists this ribosomal RNA (252 nucleotides) under uncultured Gardnerella sp. RNAcentral describes it as "partial 16S ribosomal RNA". It matches the Rfam family "Bacterial small subunit ribosomal RNA", at positions 103 to 354 of the family's 1533-position model. The record is from RNAcentral. Lineage: Bacteria; Bacillati; Actinomycetota; Actinomycetes; Bifidobacteriales; Bifidobacteriaceae.